RNAcentral lists this ribosomal RNA (369 nucleotides) under Coronocyclus labratus. RNAcentral's name for it is "eukaryotic LSU rRNA". Lineage: Eukaryota; Metazoa; Nematoda; Chromadorea; Rhabditida; Strongylidae. The record is from RNAcentral.
UAUAAAUACUACAAUGUGGCCUGUUACAUUGUUUGUCGAAUGGCGCUUGCAUUCAUUUGCAAUCCCCAUUCUAGAAAAGAAGCAUAUUGCAACAUGUACGUUAGCUAUGCCUUAAUAACAGAAGCUAUGCGUUGUUACUGCUGGAUCGUUUAAUGCCUGUUAACGUUCCAGCGGGGCCUGAUGACAGCGCUUCGUUAUCUGAUUUGGCUAUGGCUAACUACACAGAAUGACAUAUAUUCGUUGUCACUGUUGACUUGUUUACCGCCUACUAACAUUUCAGCAGUGCCUGUAUGACAACGCUCUAUAUCGUCAUUUGCAAUGCAACCUGAGCUCAGGCGUGACUACCCGCUGAACUUAAGCAUAUCAUUU